AACUUUUAACAAUGGAUCUCUUGGCUCUCGCAUCGCUGAAGAACGCAGCGAAAUGCGAUAAGUAAUGUGAAUUGCAGAAUUCAGUGAAUCAUCGAAUCUUUGAACGCACCUUGCGCCCCUUGGCUAUUCCGAGGGGCAUGCCUGUUUGUGUAUCAUGAACACCUCAACUCUCAUGGUUUGCUGUGAUGAGCUUUGGCUCUGGGGGUUUUGCUGGCCUGUGGUCCGCUCCCCUCAAAUGAAUCAGCCCCCCAAUGUUUGGUUGCAUCACGGGUGUGAUAAAUAUCUAUGCCCGCGGUUGGCUUCCAGGUAAACUUUGGUGAAAAAGGGUUGGUGGAGCCCCCAGAAGGUUCCCCUCAGCGAAGACAGCUUUUUGAACGUUCGAUCUCAAAUCAGGUAGGACUACCCGCUGAACUUAAGCAUAUCAAUAAGCGGAGGCU
RNAcentral lists this unclassified non-coding RNA (437 nucleotides) under uncultured Thelephora. RNAcentral's name for it is "sequence contains ITS2". The stretch from base 1 to 155 matches the Rfam family "5.8S ribosomal RNA". Lineage: Eukaryota; Fungi; Basidiomycota; Agaricomycetes; Thelephorales; Thelephoraceae. The record is from RNAcentral.